RNAcentral lists this ribosomal RNA (243 nucleotides) under Triticum aestivum (bread wheat). RNAcentral's name for it is "partial small subunit ribosomal RNA". Lineage: Eukaryota; Viridiplantae; Streptophyta; Magnoliopsida; Poales; Poaceae. The record is from RNAcentral.
UUGUGUACCCCGAAGAAGAAAUUGGGAUUGAGGUUUAGGGACCUUCACAGUUUUAACCUAGCUAUGUUAGCAAAACAGUGCUGGCGACUUCUCUAGAACCAAGAUUCUUUAUCUGCACAAGUUCUUCGUGCUAAAUAUUACCCAAAUGAAAAUUUACUUAAAGCUGGUCCUAAGAAGGGAUCAUCUUACACUUGGCAAAGCAUUGUGGCAGGCAUUCAAACGUUCCAGCGAUUAUGUAUUUGA